AACAAAACUGCCUAGUUUCUUAGCUUGACCCAUGGAGACUCUGCUUUUCAUAAUAACACUGCUUAAGGAUACCAGAUCUUUUUAAAGCUGUUUUGAAGAUCAAAAAACCAUCUUUAGAGUUCAUUACUAUUAGCAAAACCUCAGUAACAAAAGUCUGAUCUUUGGUGGUGGAGAUGAGGGGGCAGAUGUGGAGAGAGAGGGAAAGGACGGUUAUUUACCGAGUUCUAAUUGCCGAGCACUGUGUCAGGGCUUCACCUGUUGCUUUCCCCAUCAACCACAUAUAGUUUAAAAGUGGGUCUUCAGAGCUCCAGGUCAAACAGCAGGCUCUUUAUUUCCAUUUCAGGAAUCCCCGUUGCCUCCUUUAAGAGACAAGAAGACCCACAAAUCCUGUCUCGCUGUUCCUAAGGUACAGAAACUGAAGUCAUUUUUCUCUUCCUUUCUUGGAAAAAUGCUGUUAUGUCUGCAGAGCAUAAGUCUGUAAAAACACAAAAAUUAAUAUAUCAUAUCCAUCUUCAAAGUAGCCAUAUUUGGGAAUAGGGAAACUACAGUGAGUAUUUUUCCUGCAGCAAAUCAGAGGCUAAUCCAGACGCCCAAGCCCCAGAAUGCACCUGUGUUCGGCAGCUGUAUCUGGGGAAGUCACCCAGCAUGAUCUACUGUGCUGGCUCUUUCCAAGAGGAGCCUCAGAAGGAAGGAGAAAAAUGUCUGAGGGCUCGUCUGGGGAGAAAUAAAAGAAAUAAUUGUUCUAAAAAAAAGGAGAAAUUGGUAUUUCACCGGCAGCCUAAGAUGCACAGAAGCACUUUAAACUCCUGUGGCUGGCAUCCGUCAUCUGAAAAUCACCAACUUGUUUAAAAAUCCCUCACCGGGGGAUUGUGCUGCUGCUGCCAGGCAGCCUGAAACCGAGUGUGUCUAGAUACUCAUAUGUCCUCGACGGGGGCCCUGGGGGACUCUGGUGUGCUGCGGCCUGAAUGCCUCUUGCCAACAUUCGUAUGGGAACGGCAGAACAAGAAACUCGAUUUCAGCACAAGUCAGCUGCUAUGGAGAAGGAGCCACGUGGAAGUGAGGUUUCGCCAUCAAGGUUUCAAUGAGCCCCAGGUGUACGGCAAAGGGGGAGGAUAUUUGCCCCAGACAAGGUCCCCUAUUGCAGUGCACACUGUUCCCGGUUCUGGCUUUCUUAACACAGAGACAAAAUGAUCCUGCCUGGAAACAACGCAAGUGUUGUGAUACACAGAGCUGUGGGGUGAUGGAAAUCAAACUAACAGUGGUUUAAGCCUUGAUGAAACUGAGCUAUGAUGAAACAUGGCACGAGGUGGUUUGGGAAGGGCUGCACAGGGGAAGAUGGAGCACAGCAACAGUGGGCUGAAGAUCUUUGCGUGUCUAGUCUGCUGCUGCUGCUGCUAAGUCGCUUCAGUCGUGUCCGACUCUGUGUGACCUCAUAGACAGCAGCCCAUUAGGCUCCUCUGUCCCUGGGAUUCUCCAGGCUUCCACAUCACCUUCCUCCUCUGACCACUCUUCCUCUGCAGCCCAAGGACUGAAUGAGAAGGUUGUACCAACUAUCACUUCUGGGUAUUUUGGUUGUACAUGCACAGAUCAAAGAGAUGACUACUGGGUGGUCUUAGUGGACCAACUGUGAUGUGAAGCUCCACCAAGACUGCAUACAUAAUGCGGCCUCUGUAUGCAUCCAUGUAAUAAGGAUGUCAGCAUGAUGCUGUGAAUUUCUGGGUAUCACUGUCAACCUGGAUUCUGUGUCCUGCAGUCCUCUGGAUGUUGAUACACUCCCUUCUCCCUGGUUCAGAGUUAUCCCAAGUAAAUGGCCAUCGGUUCCUUUGGAGCUGAACUGGAAUACUGCUGCCUUUCAUGCUUGCCAAUUAUUUCAGUGCCUUCUUCCGGGGUGGGACGGGGGCAGGGGGGUGGGGCAGUCUCUUCUUCAGCUGGGGGUUUCCUAGUGAGAAAGGAUACUCAGGUUUUUAGACCAGACAGUGGAUCAUGGC
This is a long non-coding RNA of Bos taurus (domestic cattle), 1988 nucleotides long. Lineage: Eukaryota; Metazoa; Chordata; Mammalia; Artiodactyla; Bovidae. The record is from Ensembl.